GUCCUCCUCAUGCUUACCACAGACUGUGCAUCAGAGUACCGUCUGUAUAGAAACUGGAGGUACAUGAAUCUCUUCCAACACUGGUGCCGUGCUGGCUAACGUCUGGCAAGGCAGCUUUGUUGGUUGAGACAUCU
Small nucleolar RNA from Gambusia affinis (western mosquitofish), 134 nucleotides. The record is from Ensembl. Lineage: Eukaryota; Metazoa; Chordata; Actinopteri; Cyprinodontiformes; Poeciliidae.